Molecule: unclassified non-coding RNA, 360 nt
Filed under: Hevea brasiliensis (rubber tree)
Lineage: Eukaryota; Viridiplantae; Streptophyta; Magnoliopsida; Malpighiales; Euphorbiaceae
Source: RNAcentral
GGCUUCCCAAUAGAAUAUCCAUCCAGGAAAAGGCACAAUGUGAAGGAAACUUCAUUAUCAGGUACUGUGGUAACAUCCUUGCUUCCAUGAACAACCGCACCCGUGAGCCUUCCAGUCGAUGCGGAAUUGGAUUUAUUUUGUGGAAGAACUGAAUUCCUUUCUUUGUUAGCUCGAAGAGCGACGUCGUCAUGUUCUUCGAUGUCGGGAUGUACUGGUUUGGGCCGAAACCUUGCACCGGUUUUGGAAACCUUAAACGAAACCCCCAUUGCCGGAAAAUUCUACAGCAGCGUUGAUCCGGUGCCGGAGACUUAGUGAAGUAGUAUCUGUGUAUGGGGCAUAAUUAAGCAGAGCACAGAGAGG